RNAcentral lists this long non-coding RNA (18500 nucleotides) under Marmota monax (woodchuck). Lineage: Eukaryota; Metazoa; Chordata; Mammalia; Rodentia; Sciuridae. The record is from RNAcentral.
GAAAAAGGUAACUCUGUCUCUUGUGUGAUUAUUUCAUCCAGCCCAGUUCCCCUGGAGUGACCCUGAGUGUUUUUGUCUCGUGGAAUGUGACAGCCGGCUGUCUGUGGGCUGAGACCUCUGAAACUGAGAGCCCCAAAUAACCUUUUCCUCCUCAACCACUGUUCUGGUCACGUCUUUUAGUCACGGCAGCAAAAAAGCUGACUAAAACACCCUCCAUCCGCCAGCCACAGCCACCCACAUCACCUGCCCUGGUGUCUCGCUGUCAGUUCUUAGAAGACUGUCACUCCUUCACAGAUUUCCCCUGGGCCUUGUGUCAGGCGCUGAGUCACGGAGGAGUUUCUCAGUAACCCACCCACCCCUCCCCCCAGCCCUGAGAGUCGGAAUUCCGCCGUGGUAACUGGGAACUUGGUUCAGCUCCACCGUGAUGCUCGUGUUAGUUGGGCUGUGAGGUGUCCCCCAAAAUCUCACGUGAGACAAUGCAGGAAGGGUCAGAGGAGAAAUGAUUGGCGGUGAGAGCCUUAACCCAAUCAGUGAGUCACUCCCCUGAUGGGGAUUAACUGAGUGGUCACUGGAGGCAUUUCGAGCCACAGAAGUAGAGCCCCCCGACGGACCCAAACCAAAAAGAGCAUCUUUUGAAAGGGAGCUGGGGUGACUCAGAGGAGGGAGACAGAAUGAGAUCUACACAAGACAGGAACCGGGGCGGCCUACACCAGAAACUUGUGGUCAGCCCUUGUGCUCCGCCGGUUACUGGUGAGUCCUGCUUCCCCACGUGUUGAAGGUUGAACAUUGGAGAAGCAGCCGCGGCGAGCAUAUGAAGCAGGUUUAUUUAAAGGGGUCACAUAGACUUCUCGCAGGAGGGAGAAGGGGCCACAGCUGGUGUCCUGGUAUCCCAAGGAGCGAGGUGCUCUGCCCUUUUUAUGUGUCCUAGGAUUCCUUUGUUCUCCUGCUUGUCCCCCUUAUCUUUCUCCUUCCUGCAGACAUGAUGAGGCCCAGGACAUGACUAGGCCCAGGAAAUGCUCGGUGGGAUGGCCAACAGGUGGGCUGAAGGGGGAAGGGCAGGAGGGAGCCGCCAAAGACACACUAACAACCUUAUAGCUCCCUGUAGGGAGGGGCAAUUCCUGGGACAGGUUACCUUGGCAAUAGGUUGGAGCAGGGGCAGGUUCUUGAUAAGAUCCCUCAGGGGACAGUCUCCAACUUCCCAGACUCACUCAAAAUUGGCCUCCUUGACCUGACCUGACUCGAUUUACCCAUCUACCUGGCUGCCUGUCAAAUUCUGGCUUCACUUGGAGGGUUUCAUCAGAUGGCUUUGUUCCAAACAUCUUGAUUUCAAAUUCUCAGGAAACAGAAUAGCUUGGGUCAGGUGACUACUCUUGGGCCAAUCAGGUCAGGGGAUCAAGAAGGGAGCACCCACAUUUGACUAUACAUAGUUAAGCUUGGCUCUCAGACAUCUAUCAGCGUCCCUCUCAUAUGACCAAGGUUGGCUCUCCUCCCCUCCACGGACCCCACACUCCCAAGUGCAACAGCAAACACACUUGCCCCUUCUCCAGUUUAGAUGCACCCACGUCAGUUCCCUCUUCUAUACCUUGAAAUUUUGUCAUGAGCGCAGGAACUCAGCAUGUCUCUUGCUCCCCCAGGAGCUCCUAUCUUUUGGGGGGAGGCCAGCAGGGAUUGAGUUCAGGGGUACUCAACCACCAGGCCACAUCCCCAUCCUAUUUUGUGUUUAUUUAGAGACAGGGUCUCACUGAGUUGCUGAGUGCCUCACUUUUGCUGAGGCUGGCUUUGAACUCGCAAUCCUCCUGCCUCAGCCUCCUGAGCCUGGAAUUACAGACAUGCACAAUGUACCUGGCUAGUAGCUCCUAUCUUAAUAUUUGUGUGUGUGUACGUGUGUGUGUGUGUGUGUGUGUAGGAAACAGUAGAGGCUACAACUGCCACGUGCCAUUGCUACCACUGCUAAGGAUCCUUUCCCCGGUCAUUCCACGGAGCAUUCCUCUUAAUCACGGACAAAUUCAUUCCCAGGGGGCCUGAGCCUCUUGAAGGCCUUGCCUUACUAAGAUUCUAGAAUUUUCUAUGAACUUUUACUACUUGUUAAACUAGUACAGGAAGGAAUCUUAAGGGAUCCCUGGAGUCCUAUAAAUACUCCUUCUGCACUAUUGUGUAGCAACAUGAAUCUCUUGAUGAUCAAGAUUGAUUAGCAAACGCAACAAUAAGUGACCUUAUUGUUAUUUACCAUCAAGAAGCCUGAAGAGCAGAUAUCGUCAGUUCAGAAACUAUUUUGCUGGCCCUGAGGAAGGUAUCUAGUCCUGCAGAUCUCAGAAUUAUAGGUAGCAAAAAUAAAAUAUCUGGGCUGGGGAUGUGGCUCAAGCGGUAGCGCGCUCGCUUGGCAUGCGUGCGGCCCGGGUUCGAUCCUCAGCACCACAUACAAACAAAGAUGUUGUGUCCGCCGAUAACUAAAAAAUAAAAAAUAUAAAAAAAAAAAAUAAAAAAAAUAAAAAAAAAUAAAAUAUCUGAGAAUGGCUCAUUAUGUGCAGUCACAGAGCUACUGCCCACGUCUUAACUCCUUGACACUCAGAUUCAUCAGUUGUGGCAAUGGGAGAAAAGGUACCAAAUCCAGGAACAGAUUCAGAGCACAGAGCAUCCUCCAAGACAGCUCCUAUUCUCGAGGUGUCUUCUCCCAGCUGACAUGGGGCUGAGGCCCUGUUUUGGUCACAGCUUUUGCACUACUGUGACCAAAACUCCCGAAAAGAACAACUUAGGGGAGAAGAACAACUUAGGGGCUCAUGGUUGCAGAGGUCUCUGUCCACAGAUGACUGACUUCAUUGCCGGAGUGAGGCAGAACACCGUGGUGGAAAGACCCAGCAGGGAAAGCUGCUCUGUUCAGGGCAGGGUCAGGAAGAGAGGGAGGGGACGAGGCCAGAGGAAGCACAACCCCCAGUGACCACCUCCUCCCUGCCCCUCCUGCCCGCAGUUACCACCCAGUCAGUCAUUCAAGCCAGGAUGGGCUGAUGACGGUACAUCUCCCACUGUCUAGUCAUCUCACUCUGAUAUUCCUGAGUUAACAGGAACUUUUGGGUGACACUUCACCUCCAAACCAUAACAGUCCUCUUCAGGCCAUUUCAGUGAUAUCCAAGGUGGUCACUUCCAAAGCUGAGAGUCACCAGAUGUCAAGUAGUCAGCUUGACCCAGUUGCCUGGUGACAGAGCCCAUUUGGAAACCACUAGUGUGCCAGGGAAGGCGGGAGACCUGCAGCCACAGGCGUCUUACCCCCUUGCUUAUUAAGAGUCCCUUGGUAGGGGAGCUUCCAGCAAGCACACGGGGGCAGUGGUGUUUUCUAGCUCUGGCCUCAUUCUGAGAGCUCCAUCCAUAUGCCUCUUCCCUAAAUAUCUUUGCCACCAAGCCUCCAUGUCCUUCCAGAAUACUGAGCUUGCAGCCAAACCUCAGCUGUUACCUAGGAAACCAUGCAGAUCCUGGCCUGAGGAUCCUCCUCUGUGGGCAGAAUGGGCCUCAGGACAUUCUCUGUUGUCACUGGGAGUACCCUGGGAGGAGUUCUAGCCGUCCAUUCCUGGCUGAAGCUGAGUGCUGAGCACUGAGCACUGAGUGUGAACAUCUGAGUUGGGCCCUCGGGGCUGUUCAGCGUGGUCAUCAUUAAUUCUCCAGUUAGUUUUGCAAGUCAGAUUGCCUCCUGCAAUCAAAGGGGACCACUGGAGCAGGUGGGUGUGUCACAGGUGAGGACUGUACCGCAUCUCUCCUCCUCCCCCCAGUUAGGAGAGAGAGGCUGGUCCCGCCUUCCUCUGCGCCCCCUGCCCUGGCAUCCUGAACCCCGGCACCAGACCUAAGCUGGCUAACCCGCUGCUCCCACAUGGGACCCUGGAUCUGAAUCUUAGAACUGAUUCUCAGUGGCAGCAGCAGGGCUUCCCAGAGGCAGAUGGUAAUGAGGCAACCCAGGGGUGGAAUCUCAGGGCUGCAGAGGCAGGACCGCGGCCAUCCUGUUGCAAAACCUGAUGCUUGUGCCCCCUGCCUUUGGCAUCACGUUGCUGUCUUGGUGUCUGCGGACUUCCGGAGCCUGCUCUUCAGGAUCCUGCUGGCCCAGGGUACCUUAGGUAUCAUCCCAUCAAAUUUCCUACUAUUAUUUGCCGAAGGAAACCAGAACUGGUAUCUUUGUUUAUGAUCAGGAAAGCGGAUUGGUACAUGCCAAGAGCUGGGGGCUGUAUUCAUUUGCGUUAUUAACAAGAACACCUUAGGAAUGGCGACUCCAGAAUUUCAGCCUGACAAGGUGAAUGAGCUCCAUCUUGGCUUCCAAGACUCAUGGCUGCUGGGCACUGGGCAAGCUGGAAGGAGAAUCAGUGUCACGGGAAUCUCUGCUCCUGUCUCUUUGGCGCCAUCUCUAGGUCCUUCAAGCACUGGUGUUGAAUUUGAUUUAAAUAUUUUGGAUGCCAGGCUGUGGUGGCACACUUGCAAUCCCAGCUGCUCAGGGGGCCGAGGCAGGAGGAUUGCAAAUUUGAGGUUGGCCUGGAAAACUUAGGAAAGCCCUGUCUCAAAAUUAAAAAUACAGAGGGGUUGGGGAAAAGUGUCCCUGGGUUCGAUCCGCAUUACUGCAAAAAUAUGAAAUAAGAUAAAAUAUGUAAAAGGACUGAGUGUAGCUCAGUGGUGGAGUGCUUGCCUAGCAUGUGUGAGGCCUUGGUUUCCAUCCUCAAUAACACAACAAUACGCAUAUAUGAAGUAAUAAAAAUAAGAUUUUGGUAGAGUUAUAAAUCUCAAAGACUUCCACUUGGCCUAGCUCACUAGAACAGACCCUGUCCUGAGUUUGUGAACACUCUGCAGCCUUCAAGGACACCAGUGCCAGUUACCCUCUCAAGAACCUGAACAGUGGUGGCCAGGGAAGGGUAGGGUUCCCGUAGUUUACAUUUUCAUUUGUUCCUGUUCCCCCCUGACCAGCAGAUAGCAGAGGCACCGAGACUUCAUGGGCCAGGAAUUCAUGCAAAUUUGGCCAGUAUCCGCAGUCCUAGGUACAUGGCCGCCUUUGAAGGUCAGUUACCCGAGGUUCCUCCAGACGGGACAAUAUUCUCAUGGUGUGUGACAAGGCUGUUCUCAGAUUCUGGCCUCCCUUCCUGCAAGGACUCUGGGUCUGUCGUAUCUAUGACUCAGGUCUCUGAACUGGGUGGGAAGCAGGACCAUCCAGCAUGAGACUGUCUGGCACACGCUCACUAGAUUUGGGAUCUUACAAAGUAAGUGGCCAUCCACGAGUCCUCUUUUGGGAAAUCUCUGCAUGCCAAAGCAGCCCUGACCCCCAAUCCAACGCCUGCCUGACCACCCAACACCAUGCCCACGCUUUCUGUUCUUCUGAAUGUCAACUGCCUCUCCAGAGUUGGCCUCGUAGAGUUUCUCCCACCCUAAAGAGAUCAGGCUCCCAGCCCCUUGUGCUGGUCUAGAGAGCUUCCUUGACCAUUUACUCCUCAUGUCAAAGGAGGCUCAGUGUGGGCAGGAAGUCCCUGGGAGACAAAUAUGCCAUCCUGUUUACUGCUCUCUCUCUCUCUCUCUCUCUCUCUCUCUCUCUCUCUCUCUCUGGUACCAGGGAUUGAACUCAGGGGCCCUCGACCACUGAGCCCCCUCCCCAGCCCUGUUUCGUAUUUUAUUUAGAGUCAGGGUCUCACUGAGUUGCUCAGCUGACCCAGCCUCCCAAGCUGCUGGGAUUACAGGCCAGGGCCAGGGCUCCCAGCUCCUGUUCAUUUUGAUUCCUCCGCUUCCUUUCCCCCUCCCUUCACUGUUCUUCUCCCUCCCCUGCCCCCUUCCUCUUCUUCCUUCUCUCCCUCCUCCUCCCCGCCUUUCUCUCCCACCCUCCCUCCUCCUCUUCUUUUUUUCUUCCUCAUGCCAAGAACUCUCUGGCUUUGGGGGGUCCCAGAGAGGUGGCCAGUCUUAGUUAAUGGUCGCAUAGCCGACCCGGGCACAGCUGGAUUUGCCCAGCUGCUGGAGCAUGGCCCUGGCCUUGAAUCCAGAGUUACCUUCCAUCCUCUUUGUUGAUUACCCUCAUACUCCACCCCACAAAUUGCCUCCGACGUGUGGAGCUCUCAGAGUGAAUUAGGCUGCUGUCUUGGGGUGCGUGGAGCUCUCAGAGUGAAUUAGGCUGCUGUCUUGGGGUGCGUGGUUUCCAGUCUGCGCUGGGCUCUGGGGGCUGCACUGACUUCGAAUCUGGAUCUCGGUGGUCCAGCAGCAGAGCGAGCUGAGCAGAUGCGAGUGGACGCUGCACGCAGGGGGCCCUUGGGUAGGGGCUGGAAUUGGGAUUCUUCAAAUCCCCUCAGAGAUCCUGGUUGGAAUUUUCUAGAUGCAACUUGUGGUAGGCUGAAUAACAAGCUCUAAAAAUGCCCAUGUCCUCAUCCUCAGAAUCUGUGAUUAUGUCACCUUAAAAUAAAGGAACUUUGCCUAUGACGUGAUCCAGUGACGGGUCUGGAGAAGGGAGGUAUCAGGGACGAUUUGGGCGGGUCCAGUGCCAUCAAGGGGUUCAUCCAGGAGGGUCGGGGAGGAAAAGGAGAUGUGGUGGCAAAAAAAAGGAGGCAGAGAGAGAGAGCGAGAUGGGGAGGUGUGGGCGGCUGGUUCUGAAGGCGAAGGAAGGGGCCAUGAGCCAAGAAACACAGGUGGCCUUUAAAAACCAGAAAAGAGCUGGGCACAGUGACCGCCUGUAACCCCAGCUUCUGGGGAGGCUGAGGCAGGAGGAUCACCAAUUUGGAGGCCAGCCUGGACAACUUAGCAAGACCCUAUCUCAAAUAAUGAUGAUGAUUAAAAUCUGGAAAGUCAGGGGAUGGAUUUUCCCGAGUCCCCAGGAGAAAUAGACCUUCUAACACCUCGAUUUCAGGACUACUGACCUUCUGAAGUACAAGGGAUUAACUUGUGUUGGUUCAAGCCACUACGUUUGUGCUACUUUGUUAUAGCAACCAUAGGAAACUAAAAUUCAGGAGUGCCCUUUAAAAUAAUAUAAAAGAUCUUGAGGCUGGGCUUGGGGCUCAGUAGUAGAGCGCUCCCCUAGCACGUGCGAGGCGCUGGGUUCAAUCCUCAGCACCACAUAAAAAAUAAAUAAAUAAAAUAAGGUAAUGUGUCCAAUUACAUCUAAAAAAAAAAAAAGCCAGCCUCAGCAACAGUGAGGCGCUGAGCAACUCAGUGAGACCCUGUCUCUAAAUAAAAUACAAAAUAGGGCUGGGGGUGUGGCUCAGUGGUCGAGUGUCCCUGAGUUCAAUCCCUGGUACCUCCCCCCACAAAAAAAUAUAAAAGAUCUAGUGAGGAUUGAAUUCAUCCUGAGAAUAUGAAACCUAUAUAAUUGAUCUCCAAAUUUGUGUUUUUGUUGUUGUUGUUUAGUACUGGGGAUUGAACUCAGGACACUGGACCACUGAGCCACACCCCCAGCCCUAUUUUGUAUUUUAUUUAGAGACAGGCUCUCACUGAGUUGCUCAGCGCCUCACUGUUGCUGAGGAUGGCUUUAAAUUCGCCAUCCUCCUGCCUCAGCCUCCCAAGCUGCUGGGAUUAUAGGUGUGCACCACAGUGCCCGGCUUCCAGAUUCUCUUUUUAUAGGAGAAUCUUUCAGUUGAAAACUAUAAAAGCCAGAAUUUAUUUCCUGCCUUCAGGAAAGUUUUCAAGACUUCAGCCCAGCAUUUGUCCAAAGCGGCUGGCCAGCUGCAGGUCCCAGCAUCUCUCUUCCCUUCUAUGUGGCCGACAGAAAGCAGGUGCUGCCAGGAGUGGGCGCACGUGGCUCCGCCCCCCUCUCAGCCAGAAAACCCUUCUAAACAGACCAGCCUGCCUGAGAGUCCUGGUCUGCACACACUGUUAGGUACCAAUCCAUGUGCCUAGGAAGACCCUUUUAUUGCAAGCGGAAUAGCAACCAAAUAAAACAAGACAAAAACAAAGUCAAGAACAAAACCAGACACAAAUUAAAUAUUUAAAUAAUCGUCGAACUCAAGAAUAGAGGCAUUUCCUGGAAUGAUCCAGAGAGAAAUCUUACAGGAUUAAAGAAACACACAGCUGGGGGUACACACACACACAAAAUCUUAUAAACAGGCUUUGGGAGGAGCAGGGACCCAGAAGGCCCCAUGGUCCCAGCAGGAGUUCCUGAGCUUGCGGGGGUGGGGUGGGGGUGGGGCAGCUCUGCAGCCCUGGGCCUCUGGGUGUUUCCUUCAGGUUUUCCAGUUCUCAGGGGAGAUUCCAAUUGCCCAGGGGCCUUAGAGCCCUCCUCCUGGCUGAGGGUCAAAAGGACUGCAUCUUCAGGGAAAGGUCCAGAGCUCCCUAAUUUGGGUCCUUCCAGGAGCUUCCUCCUCACCCCUGGGAGGCUUCUGCCCUGGGCCUGCCACCCUUCCUAGGGAGGGGCCCAGCCUCUGAAGCUGCGGUGGCUAUGUUCUAUUAGUGGGCAGGGCUAACUUUCACCCCCCCCAUCAAGGGCUUCCUCCUCCCGCCAAGCACUCUGGUCAGCCUCCCUCCCUCUGACUCCUGUCUCCUAACCUGCCUCUGGUUCUGCGCUUUGCCCGCACCUGGCACUGUGAUGGGGCCUGGUUCAAUGACCGGCUGUCCAUGGCUCCACAGGCAGCCAGGCUGGUCCCGGGAGCCUCAGGGAGAGCCUCUGCUGCUCCCGGGCCCGGAGUCCCCUCCAGGACAGAGGACCAGAGGGUUUGUGCACUGGAGUGGAGGAGAGCAAUGCUUUGGAAUGUCCCCCACCUUGGUAAGCCAGUGCCUCUUGUCCCCGUCUGCGUGGAGACCACAACAGGAAACCCAGGAAGGGAGGAGGGUGCCCAGCAGAAUUCAAGGAACACAGCUACACCCAGAACCUCCGCACGUUGGCACAACUCUUAGGCUGAGAGGAAACACUCCCACAGGCUGGGGUUUGGGGGUCGAGGGCAAGGUGGGGUUCAGUGCUCACAGAGGGGCUGCAGCAGCCAGGACUGGGGCCAAGGCAGAGAGCUGAUGGUCAAGGUCGGGGCUACUCGGCUCUGUCCAGUUCUGCAGAGGCUGCACUGGUGGCGGAUACUGUUGUUAUUCAGGCUUCCUGAUCGCAGCCAAGGGGGGGGCAGGGGUUGAGUUCCACAGCAUCCCCCCCCCUUUCUGCAUCCUGUUACACACCCAGACUGAAUUGCAAAAUCUCUUCUGUGACCAUCGCUCAGAGGUGAUAGUCAGGGCCGCCCAUGGUUAAUAUUGGGAAUUGCUAGGUGGCUGUAGAUCAGACUCCCCAGAUUCUAUUCUUUAUCUUUUUGGGGGGUGUCUUCCUCCAUCAAAGAGGAGUGGAGACAACCUCUGAGACUGAUGACCACAGGACUUGGGAGCCACCUUCCCCCAUCAUACAGAAUCAAUAGGAAUCUGGGUGAUUCCUUGUGUUGGCCUUAGCCCCUGGACAAUGGCCUUCAAGGAUGGGCAGCUGGGUCAGUGAACAGCCUGGAGAUUGGGGCCCUGAUCAUCCAAGCACAGUGCUGUCCCCAUCAUCCAUGAGGUAGUGAAAAAUCUUAGUGGAGUUAUUAAAAUCCAGCAGCUAAGAAGAAGUUUAAAGUCCUAUAUCCAGGAAUCUCGUUGCUCAAAGGAUCAGGGAGAAGUGGGUUGGGUUAAAAGUUGGAUUUGGGACUUUUAAAAAUAGGAAUGCUGGCAAAGUUUAAUAAGUCUAAUCCUGGGACAUGGAAGGGUGACCCAUUGAUGGAGCUGGAGAGAGAGGGAUUUCCUGAGAAGGUUGAGGUUGCAAACAGACUGAGCGGAUGUGACAGGCUGGCUGCCCCCUCCACCUGCUCUUGAGUGGGACUAGGCAGGACAGGUGUGGAAUCCCUGCUAGAUCCAGCAGGGGGCAGGAUCCGAAGAUGAAGGGUCCGUCUAACUCCCAUGAAGGAGCUGGGAUACAGGAAAUGAUCAAGAGGCACUUUCUAGAGGGUAGAGAGCAGUUUUAUCAGUACCACAGAGGAACAGUUCAGAUGUGUGCUGAUUUGGGUAGGGAGAUCAGAAUGCUUCAGAAGUUAAUUUGUGGAUUUUGUGGGGAUUCAGAGGGAGGCGGGGAAGUAGGAAUGGCCUGCACUUGGAGAAGUUUAUGCAGGAGGAUGGAGGGCUGGACUCCACAGGAAAGAGGUCAAAAGAAGAUGGAACCACUCCAAGGCUCAGGCAGGGAAAGGCUAGGUAGAGCUCAGGCCAAAGUUAGGUGGGAGGCUGGGAGGAGGAGCCCUCCUCUGUGAAGUCACCCACUCGAGGAAGGCUGGACUUGUUUCCACAGUGGGAGAGUCUGGUGGACCUCACUUCUGGACUUGCGAUUUUUCAAUAUGUUGGACCCUGAAAGAUGGAUUCCAGAAGUCUAUGUCAGGGAACUACACCCCAAAACAAAAGUUACAGACAAGGAGGGAAGGUCCUCUGGUCCAGGAAACAGCACUAGCCCUGCACCAGACUGAAAAGGAAGGGACCCUGCAGUGUGAGCUAAGCCUCUGGUAGACAGAGGUUGUCACCAAAGCCACAGUUUUUUCCCCAAGACCUGAAAGCUCCAGGCCAAGGGAAAUACGUCUGUGGGCAGGAGCAGCUGCUGGGACAAUGGGUCUCCCAACUUGAGUUGCACCCCUUAUCCGGUUGCUACAUUGAGAGUUAGAAUUCCAUGCGUCUGUUGCCCAAGUGUUUUUGGAAUUCUCUUCAUAGGCACCAGCAGCCAGAGCCCCAGCUCUCACGGAUAUUUAAAACAUCCAGUUGGGAUCUGCUUCUCUCCAUCCACACCUCUGACUCCCAGGUUGUGACGCUAAAGUCUAGCAAAAGACACAGAGAACUGGGACAAAGUAUUGCCCCAAGAAGAAUCUAAGGAGGGGUGACCAUGGGGGAAUGUUGGCAGCAGGCUACAGGAUGGAGCUGGAGACAUGGACCCGAAAGGCAGCCCACCUCCCGCCCUCCCUCAUUCAUUCAUACACUCAUUGACACCCCUGUCUCCUUCUAUGAGCUGAGCACUUGCAAGGUUCUGGGGACAUAAAGUGAGUCAGACAGGGUCCUGUCCUGUCUGGAGCUGAGUUGAGCUGGUGCCCAUGUGCACAAAAGCAAAGGACCUUGUGGGGACUACUGGCUGCCAGCCGGGCGGGGCUUGCUCAUCCCUUACCUCAGCAGCACUCACACGCUCAGCUUCCCUGCUCCCCGAGAUGCUCCCUGUCCUCUGCUGCCCAUGCACCCUCCCCUCUGCCAUCUGGAACACCUGGCCCUUCCCUCACCUGGCCCCCUCCUGCUUGCCUUGGCCACUCAGCACAGAGUGAUCUCCUCUGUGGACUGCUGGCCCCUCAGUGUGCUUCAGACUCCCAUGGUUCCAUGGGCUUCCUUCUGACAUCUUUGCUUUCUCUGAGCUCUCGCUUCACCACCUCUAGAAACCCUGCAGCCCCCCAGGGGCUCCUGCCACCCUUCCCCCUCCAUGCUGUUGCUGUCGUGGGCACAGUCUAACCCCUGCAAGAUGGUAUUUUAUCUUUGGUCUUAAAAAGUCAUUCACAUUUUUUAAAACUUAAUAUUGUCUUCAACCAUUUAUCUUUUUUGCAGUACUGAGAAUUAAGCCUAGAGGGCGCUCUACCACUGAGCUAAAACCCCAGCUUGUUUUUUUUCUUUCCGCGUUUUUUAAUUGAACAUUAUAUUUACACACAAUGAUGAGCCUUGUUGCUACAUAUUCAUACAUGCAUAUAAUAUAACAAUAAUACUUGGCCAAUACCACUCCUCAGCUUCCCUCCCCUCCCCAUCUUCAACCCCUGUUCUUUCCUCUAUCUCCCUUUGAUUUUCAUGAGAUCCCCCACCCCUUCCUCCCCUUUCUUUUCCUGUUUCCUCUCUAGCUUCCACAUAUGACAGCAAACAUAUGACUCUUGACCUGAGUUUGACUUAUUUCACUUAACAUAAUGGUCUCAAGUUCCAUCCAUUUUCCUGCAAAUGUUAUAAUUUCAUUUUUCUAUAUGGCUCCAUUGCAUAUAUAUAUAUAUAUACCAUGUUUUCUUUUUUUUAAUUUUUUUUUUCAUUUAGGUAGAGGUGGACACAUACCUUUAUUUAUUUUUAUGUGGUGCUCAGGAUCGAACCUAGUGCCUCACCCAUGCUAGGCGAGCGCUCUACCUCUGAGCCACAACCCCAGCCCUAUCAUGUUUUCUGUAUCCGUUCAUCUGUUGAUGGACAUCCAGGCUGGUUCCAGUUUGGUUAUUGUGAAUCACAGUACUGUAAACACGGAUAUGCAUCUGUCGCUAUGCUAUGGUGACUUUAAUUCUUCAGGAUAAAUACCAAGGAAUGAUCUAGCUGGGUCAUAUGGUGGUUGCAUGCCUAGUCUUUUGAGGAAGCUCCAUGCUGAUUUCCAUAGUGGUUGUACUCAUUUACAAUCCCAUGAACAGUGUAAAAAUGUUUCUUUUUCUCCACAUUCUCUUUACCCAGCUCUUAAAUUUUGAGACAGGGUCUCACUAAGUUGUAGAGGCUGGUCUUGGUCUUGUGACCCUCUUGUCUCAGUCUCCUCAGUUGCUGGAUUACAGAUGUGCACCACCGCAUCUGGCCAAUUAUUGAUAAUUUCUGAUGUUCUUCAACUGUUUCUGGAAGUUGAUUCUCCCUCGGGUAACCCUUCUCCUUAGCUGAUGAACCUCAGCUUUUGCAAGUCUUUUCAUGCAUCCCCGGAGGCAACGAAUUCUUCAGAUUCUCCUUUAUCAAAAAUAGUCAUCACUUUGCUUUCAUUUUUGAAAGAUGUUUUGUCUGACUAUAGAAUCUGUGGUUGGCAGGGUGUUUUCUAGCCCUUUAAUCAUGUUGUUCCGCGGUCCUCCGGCUUUCCUAGAUUUUGAAUGACUCUCUCUGAGUUUUUUCCAUCAACAAAGGCUGGUGGCUUUUGUCCCCAGCUGCCACCAGGGCCUCAGACAGAAGAGCACCGCAGGGAUCCCCUUGCCUGGGGUCCCUUCCAGUGACCUCACCACUGGAGGUGCAUUGCAGCAUAGCCUCAAGGACAAACCCCAACCGAGCGGGUUUAAGAGUCUGUGGUACGCACAGACCUCCCCUGCGCUGGCGAGCGGGCUGGGGAGGGGCCGAGGUGAGCCUGGGCCCGACACGCAUGCGCACAAGCCAGGACGCGCAGCACAAGGGCGGCACUUAGGGGCUAGUGGCAUUUGCUGGGUCCAGGGAGUUAUCCACACAGGUUUCCCGGGGGGCAUAGUAUUGUAACUGGAGUCAAGGAUGCUGAGAGCUGCUUCUAGAGAGAGAAAGUUACACUCGAAGUUAAAAUGAAUGCCAAGACACCCCAACCCACACCCCGCAAAGUUUCGGCGAGAAGUUCUUGGUUGUUGGUAUCCUUGAUCCUCCUGUGUAAUAUGUUAAUUUUCUCUGGCUGCUUUCUGGAGUUUGUGUUUAUUUUGAUUUUUGGCAAGUCCAUUAUGAUGGGCCUAGGUGAAGUUGUGGGGUUGAUUCGGUUGGGGGUCUACAGAACUUCUUGGGCAGGUAAACUUUCCCUCUAAAUUUGGGAAGUUUUAAGCCAUUAUUAUUAUUUUUUUUCUAGUUGCUGCUGGGGAUUGAACUUAGGGACACUAGACCACUGAGCCACAUCCCCAGCCCUGUUUUCCUAUUUUGCAUUUUAUUUAGAGACAGGGUCUCACUGAAUUGCUCAGCGCCUCACUUUUGCUGAGGCUGGCUUUGAACUUGUGAUCCUCAUGCCUCAGCCUCCUGAGCCGCUGGGAUUACAGGUGUGUGCCACCACGCCCUGCUUAGUUCAUUUUAUUUAUUUGUAUGUGAUGCUGAGGAUCAAACCAGGUCCUCACAUGUGCUAGGCAAGCGCUCCACCGCUGAGCCACAACCCCAGCCCUCAGCCAUUAUUUCUUGAAAUACUUGUUGGCCACUCCGGUCUUUCCUCACUUGUCUGUCUGAGAUUCCAGCUCUCCAACUAUCCUUAGAACUUCUGACAUUUCCCCACAGGUCCCCAAGACUGUUUAUUGUUUUUAAAUGUUUUUCCUUGUAUUUCUUCAGAUUGGGUAAUUUCCAAAGAUCCGUUUAAUUCCCUCUAUCAUCUGCAUUUUGCUAUUAAGCACAUCUAUCUAAUUUCCAUAUUUCAGGUACUGCAUAUUUCAGUUCUAAAUUUUUCUUUGGCUCCUUUUUUUCUAUUUCUCUGUCGGCAUUCUUAAAAUUUCAUUCAAGUGUAUUUUUCCCGAACUCAACAAGUAUAGUUAGAAUAACUGCUUUUAAGUUUUUAUCUAAUUCCAACAUCUGGGACUCCUCAAAGUUGGCCUCUAUGGAUUGUCUUUUGUUUUGAGAAUGGGUUACAUUUUCCUUGCUCUUUCUCUGUCCGGUAAUUACUGCAUGGUGAACAUACGAAUGUUGUGUUGAAGACUCUGGAUUCUGUUGUAAUCCUCCAACGAUUUAGUUCUCUGUAUUGAUGUGCUAGCCAGAAGGAGCGGCUCCAUCUUGCCUGUGAUGUGAGGCCGCUGAGGUCUCCUGUGAGACUGCUUUUGGUCUGCUACAUGCCUGUGUGGCUGAGGAUCAGUAGGUCACCAGGGUAGACUAGAGACAAAUCUUGGAGUGUCCCUUCUUUGUCUUUCACUUUGAACCCUUUCUUCUCAUUCUCCAGCAGGAGCCAUUGCCCUGGGCUACCUUCCACCUCCUCAGGGCAGCUGUUUCCCAUUGGCUGCCCUCAACGAAAAGCUGAAAAAAUAGAGAACUUUUUUUUUUCAGCUUUUCUUUUUCCUUUUUUCUUUUUUGGUACCAGGGAUUGGACUCAGGGGUGCUUAACCACUGAGCCACAUCCCCAGCCCUCUGUUAUAUUUUAUUAGCCACAGGGUCUCGUUGAGUUGCUUAGAGCCUUGCUAAGUGCUGAGGCUGGCUUUGAACUCACGAUCCUCCUGCCUCAGCCUCCCAAAUCUCUGGGAUUACAGGCAUGUGCCACUGUGCUUGGCCAGGGCCCAUCAUUUUCUCCGUAUUGAUUCCUCUCAACAUCUUCCUGUUUUGACUUGUUCUCCUGAGCCUGGAGGUAGUGGUGUUAUAUUUUGUCUAGAGUGUGUGGUGCUAAUUUCAGGAGACUCCCUGAACUUGCUUUUGAGCCUCAGUUCUUUCGUGGACUUGCUGUGUGAUCUUGAGAAAGCCACUGUCCCUGUCUCUGCCUCAGUUUCCCUACCUACACAACAAGGUAAUAAUUCUGUUCCUUUUCAAAGUAAGUGCAUUGCUCCCAGAGACUUGGGAGGCUGAAGCAGGAGGAUUGAAACUGCAGGCCAACCUGAGCAAAUUAGUGAGACCCUGUCUCAACAUUAAAAAAAAAAAAAAUUCUGUCUACUGGUGAUGUAGCUCAAUGGUAAAGCACCCCUGGGUUCAAUCCUCAGUACAAAAAAAACAAAAGUACAUUGCAAAUUGUAGAGUGCUCUUUGGAUAUAAUCCCGCCCAUCUGCUAUGGGUCCUUCACAGUAAGGGCCCCAGAUGCUCCAUGGACAUUUUUCCUAGUGAAAAGACCCUGUGGGGAGAGUGAGAUGGGGGUCCCUGUAUUCCAGUCCCCCCCUUAUUGUUAUGGUACAUUGGGAAACUUGGGGUCCCUGACUUGGGAGUCAGAUCUAUAUUCCAGUUUCUCUCUGCCUUGGAGCCUGAGUUGGCUGCCGAUUGUCCUCUGUGAAAGGUGCACCGUCCUCCCAGAGUUGUUGUGGGGCUGAAAUGUGAUGGUGGUGAAGGAGCCCUCAGCCGUGGAUCGCUGCUCUGGCGGCCAUCACACGGGAAAUGGGGUUGGCUUGCUUCCUUGGUCCCUGCUCAGCUCAGCAGUCCUGGCCACUCCCUGGCUCCCUUUGUUCCUAGAGAAAGGGUGCACAAUCAGGCACAGCUGAGCUGCUGAGAAAGCCAGGGUCUCUGCAAGAGACUCCACGGUCUUCUGUCCACCAACGUGUGCUUCUUAACACCAACGUGUGCUUCUUCAUUUCUGUUUUCAUUAAAUACACGCACACACGUGUGCACACUCAAACACACACACACACACACAAUUCCCUUCUGUCUGCCCUAGACUAGGCCUUGCACAGGGCAAUGGGGACAUAGAUGCAGUUGAGAAAUCCACCGCCCAGUCACCAUGGCCUCACGGAGGGCAGCAGACAAGGAGAGAGGGCCUGUGGCUAGGUUCAAGCCAGGAAUCACUGCACUGGUGACAACUGACCCCACCAGGAAGGAUCCAGAGGGUUUCUGGAAGAGGCUGUCCCUGCUUUGGGCUUGGGAUGACCUAGAUUCUCUCAGGCAACGAGAUCAAACACCUGGCUACACCCAGGUUUGUGGCACUCAGUAACCAUCAGUUCGGCUGUUUCUCAUCUGACACAGUCUCUGGGUUCCUGAAGCUGUGUGCUCUGUGAAAUUGGGGCUGGGAAAGACCCUCGAAAUCUGCAGAACAAUGAUCCCGAUACAGUGGGAUGAUCCCCCCUCCAGUUGAACCUCCACCUGCAUCCCAGCCAAGUCACGUUUGUCACCUCAAGCCCCAAUCCGUGAUCCUUCCCUUGAGAUGUAGGUCUGGGAAGGCUUUUGCUCCUCUCUGUGUCACAGCAGCACACAUGCUGGGCAAGCUCUCUACCACGGAGUCACAUCUUCAGCACUUUUUACUUAAUUUUGAAACAGGGUCUUGCUAAGUUGCCCAGGCUGGCUUCAAAGUUGUGAUCCUCCUGCCUCAGCUCCCCGGUAUUACAGAUUGUGCCAUCGCACCCAGCAAGCCUUUGCUUUUGAUAGAGAUUAUUUUAUCAAAAUUAAAAUCGGAUACACAGGGUAGCCUUCCUGAUUGACCCACCACUUGAAUAUAGCGGGAUAUGUCUCAGUGCCGUCCUCACCCACAUUUCAGCUUCACCAAAUUUAACAUCAUGGAGAGCUCAGAGGUUCUGGGAGCAGCUAACCAGCUGCAACUUACACACAGGGAACAGCUGGAAGCUAUCCAGGUGAUAGGAGGAGAGAAAGGUGGCACUGGGGUCUGCAGAUUGCAAAUUUUUGCCAAAUCCUUAUUCACGGUGGACACAUCCUGAGACCCCCCAGUGGAGGCCUGAAACUGCAGAUAGCACUGAACUCUGUGUAUACUAUUUUUUUUUCCUAUUAAAUGGAGAAUUUUUUUUUCUUAAGGGAAGCACUUUACAGCUACUCUUUGGCAUAUCUAAAUUUCUAGCAUCACUAGGCUGAGGCUGUGGCUCAGUGGUAGAGCACUCACCUGGCACCCCGUGAGGCACUGGGUUCAAACCUCAGCACCACAUAAAAAUAAAUAAAUAAACAAAAUAAAGAUAUUGUGUCCACCUCCAACUAAAAAAAAAUUUAAAGAUUAAAUAAAAUGAAUUGCCAGCAUCACUACUCUUGUGCUUAGAAUCAUUAUUAAGCAAAAUGAGGGUUACUUGAAGACAAGCACUGUCAUACUAGACGGCUGAUCUGGUAACUGAGAUGGCCACUGUGACUGAUGGGUAGGUAGCAUAUACAGUGUGGAUACACUGGACAAAAGAAUGAUCCACAUCCCGUAUGGAGUGGACUGAGAUGGUGAAAGAUUUCAUCAUGCUAUUCAGAAUACCAUACAUUUAAAACUUAUGAAUUGUUUCUGAAAAUCUUCAUUUAAUCCUUUCAGAUUGAGUUGACCUCCAGACACAGAAACCUCAGAACGCAAAACUGCAGACAAGGGGAAGACUUCUGUAACUAGGAAGGCUGCGUACAAACUGUCAAAUGACAAGGAACUAAGACGCACAGGGAGUCAGCGUCAGGACUGCAGAGAUCACAGAGCCUGUGGGAGCAGGUGCCCAGGAGGAUGGAGGCUGGAUGGUAGGCCAUGGCUGAACUUGACCGACCCUCUGGUUCAGCCAGCCCACGGAUGGAGCUGGGGUUCAGGGUGGAGCCCGGCAGACAUUCCUUCUGUGUGAUUUCAGUUCCCAUUUAUGUGCAUCUUGGAUUUUAGAGAAGGGUCUGGCAAUAAGUCAGUAACGGGCCCUCUGGUUGGUGCCCAGAGGUGACAAUAGUCAGAUCUCACCAGUCAGUGAUGCUAAGGAGCAGGUAGGAGCAUGCUUCUUCCCACCUUGCCCUUAAAAUAAUCCUUUAAAGAAAAGCUAUUGUUCCCAUGUGACAAUUGAAGACUCAACGCAGGCAGGAAGCUUCUAGGAAACUCAUCGGAGGCAGCAGAGCAUGCAGCAGACCUAGGUGGGCUCACAGCCCCUGAAGGGCGCAGGGGAGGGCCCUCCAGUGAGCCGCGGCUCUGCAGGGUGAGCGAAUGUCUCCUCUCCUGGCCACCAGGAGGACGUGAGCCAUCCGUGGCAAACGGAGAACAAAGGAGGAGACUUUCCCAGCCACGGCAUCAGCUUAUGGGGACAAACAAGAUGCCCACAGAGAUAUUCUCACCAAGGCCGAGGUGUUUGUCAGGCCCACCUCUCUCCUCCUGAGGUCACCAAGCACGUGUGACUGGCUUGUCAGGGCGCAGCGUCGGCUCUCACGAGGAUGCUGUUGGGAAACGCCUUUGACUCCCAGGCGUUUCUUCCUCAGAUCCUCCAUUAUUACUGGCCAGUCCAACCCUCAGGGGACAGGGCUCGUGCAGGGCUGGACUGAGGCGGAGGAGUGGAGCACGGGUUCCCUGGGACGGGCGC